This 1715-nucleotide long non-coding RNA is filed under the name Sus scrofa (pig). RNAcentral describes it as "lncRNA (ENSSSCG00005011689.1)". Lineage: Eukaryota; Metazoa; Chordata; Mammalia; Artiodactyla; Suidae. The record is from RNAcentral.
AAGGUCACCCCGCCCCACCAUCUAGCACAUCGAACCAUGAGUGACACGUUUCCAUAUUUGCUUUUGUCCAAAUGUUUUAACAUAAAUGCUAGACAUAAUGCCUCUUGCCACUCACUCACUCUUUUAUCUGCCACUGUUGUCACAACAGACAACACAACGCAAGGUAUCUUUUGCAGUGUUCAUUUAUUCCCAGAGGGUUUGGUGAAGUGAAAGUGUUUGGUUAUUAUAUUCAGGUCAAAAAGCCGAUUUUUCUACCAGUUAAUUUAGUUUGGAGACAGACCUAAGUGAGCAGGAAGCAGAAGAAAGGGUCUCUGGCUUUGCCAAGGGGACAAGGGUGGUCCCAAGAGGGAAGUGGGGCUUGGGGACCACUCAGCAACAGCUUUAUUGAGAUAUAAUUCACAUACUGUGAUUUAAAACUCAUCCUUUUAAAGCAUACAGUUCUAAGGUUUUUAGUAUUUUCAUAACUCAUAUAUAUGUAUUUUUUUCUUUUUACAGCCACACCUGCAGCAUAUGGAAGUUCCCAGGCUAGGGGUCUAAUUGGAGCUGUAGUCGCUGGCCUGCGCCACAGCCACAGCAAUGUGGGAUCCGAGCCGCAUCUUUAACCUACAUUGCAGCUCACAGCAACGCUGGAUGCCACUGAGUGAGGCCAGGGAUCAAACCCACAACCUCAUAGUUCCUAGUCGGAUUCGUUCACCACUGAGUCACUUGACGGGAACUCCCUGACAUGUUUUUGAAGAGAGUAAAUUCAGUACUUUUUCUUAGUUCUCAAAAAUGCACACAUGGUUUUUAUCUGGUACGUCCAGUUAUAAAAAUGCCAUGAAAUGAAGGCAACUUUAUUUCAUAAAGCGGUAGGGAUAGAUUUCUGGAUGAUGCUUGGUUUGAUUUAAGUUUAUUCAGAUUACCAAAAUAUUUUUGUCAGCAUGUUUGCUUUCAUUGAACAUCUUUACUUUGCAUCCUGGCACCAGCAAUAUGUGAUUAUUUAUUAUUGUUCUCCUGGGGGGUAUUAUUUGCUUGCAAAGUUUUAUGAUGAUUGUGACGAGUUAGCCAGAAAUUGAAUAGAACUGGAGUUUCUUUAAGUCUGGAUUUGUUCAAAGACCAGUUUUGAAUUGACUGAGGCUAUAGAUGGAACUGGCGCUUGAGUUAUUUGAGGUCUGGAAUCCCCAGUGGCAAAGAGGAUAUUUUGGUCUGAGUUAGAAAAAUGACAUUUCAUGCUUAUCUACUUCUGGUGGGAGUGUUAAUUGGUACAAACAUUUAGGAAAACAGUUGAGCAUUAUCCAGUAAAGAUGAGUGUGUAUACCCUAUGCUUAGGCAAUUUUCCUUUCAAGCUUCUUCCCUGGGAAAUCUUCUGUUCUGCUGUCUAUCACAGCUUUUCAUAUAUUAAUAACGGUUUACAAAAUAAACCCAAACCACCCAAAUGUUUCUCAAAGUAGAAUGAAUAAGCAAAUUGUAAUAUAAUCAAAUAACAGAAUAGUGUGUACAAAUGGAAAUGAAAUGAUCUCAAACUAGGUAGAACAAUACAGAUAAAUUUCAACAAUCUAAUAUUAAGCAAAAAAAAAGUUAGGUUGUGCUGGAGUUCCCCAGUGGCCUAGUGGUUAAAGGCUCUGACACUGGCAUUGCUGUGGCUUGGGUCACUGCUGUGGCAUGACGUUGAUCCCUGGCCCAGGAACUUCUGCAUGUGGCAGGGGCAGCCAAAAAAAAAAAAAAAAAAAAAAAAA